RNAcentral lists this ribosomal RNA (427 nucleotides) under uncultured prokaryote. RNAcentral describes it as "bacterial SSU rRNA". It matches the Rfam family "Bacterial small subunit ribosomal RNA", at positions 355 to 774 of the family's 1533-position model. The record is from RNAcentral.
UCGAGGAUCAUUCGCAAUGGGCGAAAGCCUGACGAUGCGACGCUGCGUGGAGGAUGAAGGCCCUCGGGUUGUAAACUCCUGUCAUGAGGGAAGAGGAGAGUGUCACUAACAUUGACGCGAUUUGACGGUACCUCAAGAGGAAGCCACGGCUAACUCUGUGCCAGCAGCCGCGGUAAUACAGAGGUGGCGAGCGUUGUUCGGAUUUACUGGGCGUAAAGGGCGCGUAGGCGGCCGUGUGUGUCGGGUGUGAAAUCCCAGGGCUCAACCCUGGAAGUGCGCCCGAAACUGCACGGCUCGAGUGCGGGAGGGGAGAUCGGAAUGCAGGGUGUAGCGGUGAAAUGCGUUGAUAUCCUGCAGAACACCGGUGGCGAAGGCGGAUCUCUGGAACGCAACUGACGCUGAGGCGCGAAAGUCGGGGGAGCAAACA